Molecule: long non-coding RNA, 472 nt
Filed under: Mytilus galloprovincialis (Mediterranean mussel)
Lineage: Eukaryota; Metazoa; Mollusca; Bivalvia; Mytilida; Mytilidae
Source: RNAcentral
GCUGUUACCUGUAGUGAUUCUUACAUUUAAAAUGGUCUCCAAGACAAUAAAACUGAUCAACAAUAUAAACUACAACCAAUAAAAAAAUAUAAACCCUAUAAACUCAAUAUAACAAAUAUUAUGCAAUUAAACUUCAACAUUUUUAUAUUUCAAUAAACUUGCUUGGGGAGAUGAAGAAAUCUAUUUCAGUAUCUUACUGUUGCAGAAAGAGAGAUGGCAAUCAAACCACAUCUUCUUUUUCAUAUUAACCACAAAAUCUAAACAGAUAAACACAGGUUAGAUUAAUCCUGUCAGACAAACAUGAACAUCUUGCAAUCAUUUUAUACAAUAAAUAUAGUUACCAAUUCAAUGUGUAUAGUAUCUGAAAACCAGUCAUAACCAUAAAAAUGAUGUCAUGGUCAGAUGAACCCUGUUUGAAAGACAUAUAACCCUUAUAAGAUUACUAUGUACAUGUUAGAUUGUGUAGUUACCC